AGUAGUAUAUGGAAAGUUGAGCAAGUCCUAAGAAGGACCCAUAAGCCAAAAAUGGGCAUAAGCCCUCCAAAAGGACGAUUUAAGGAAACGUUUUCGGAUGAUCUGACUUGAAAGGGUAAAAACAGCAUUAUAAUUUUGGAAUUUGGGAAAACCACCGGAAAUAAAAGUUGUAGAUAAUUGAAAGAGCUUUCUAACCAUAGGUCGUGGGCCCUCAUACGAUAUCGGGAUCAAGAGUUAUGACCGUUUUACUGAACGAACAUCCAGUCAGAAAAUUUAACCCUGCGCGAACGCGCCCAAAGGGGGCGCGAACGCGCAGAAGGAGUUUAUAUAACCCUACGCGAUCGCGCCAGAAGGCAGCGCGAACGCGCUGAGCAUUUUUCCAGUAGUUUCUGGCAGCUUCUAAACGUUAUCAAAAGGGGGAAACCCCCCCUCAUUUUCAGUUGUAAACACGAAAAACACCCCCAAAAAACUCUCCAAAAAUCUGGAGAGUUCUCCCUAACUCUCCACCAAAUUUUUGCCCAAACCAGGUAUAAAUUCCAAAUUCCAGUCCGGGUAGCGUAUAAUUAUUGGUGCAGAAUCAUAUAACAGUGUGUGGUGGCCUAAAUUUAGCGUGGAAAAGUGGAGAUUAAGCAAUAUUAAAGGGAGAAAGACUUACAAGCUCGGACACAUAAGCGUAGCUAAUAGGACGUGGAACAGGUACACCCAGAUGAGUUGAAGCUAAUAUAGAAGAUAUUCCAGUAGAGUUGGCAAGCUCCACAUGUUCCUGGAGUGCUACCGAGUCAGAGUACAUGUGCUACGAUGUCUGAUAAAUGUUAGAGACUUUGC
Lycium barbarum (goji berry) is the source of this 825-nucleotide long non-coding RNA. RefSeq lists it as uncharacterized. Lineage: Eukaryota; Viridiplantae; Streptophyta; Magnoliopsida; Solanales; Solanaceae. The record is from RefSeq and is a predicted model, not a curated record. The transcript has 3 exons.